AUGGCCAGCGCGGCGGAGAGCUCUGGCGGCGCCACUGCCACCCGGCGCGUGCUGAUGUUCCCGCUGCCGUUUCAGGGACACCUCAACCCGAUGCUGCAGCUGGCCGACGUGCUGCACGCCCGGGGCCUCCGCGUCACCAUCUUCCACGCCGCCUUCAACGCCCCGGACCCUGAGCGCUACCCCGCGGGUUACCGCUUCGUGCCCGUCGGCGCCGGCGUGCCUACCGCCGACCUCGUCCCCACCGGCAGUAACGCCGACUUCGCUGGGGCGGUGCUGCGCAUCAACGAGCGCCUGCAGGCGCCUUUCCAGGACAGCCUCCGCGCGGUGCUGGAGGAGGACGAGGAGGGAGCGGCGGUGUGCCUCGUGCUGGACUCCAACCUCCGUGGGAUGCAGGUGGUCGCCGACCGGCUCGGCGUGCCGACGCUGGUGCUGCGUACGGCCGGCGCGGCCUGCCUCGUCGCCUUCAUGGCCUUCCCGGCGCUCUGCGACAAGGGCCUCCUCCCACCACAAGACCAUUCACAACUCAACAUGCCACUGGACGAUCUCCAACCACUCCGGGUGCGAGAUAUGGUCUUCUCAACCACAAGUCCACAUGAAACAAUCUCCACCUGUCUAGAAUGCAUCGUGGAAUCAGUAAGGUGUUCUUCCGGUGUCAUCUUCAGCACAUUCUGUGACCUCGAAGAUGUUGAGCUUCAAAAGGUCAAUGAUAGCGUGGGUGUCCCAGUGUACGCGAUUGGUCCGCUUCACAAGAUAUCUUCAGGUCCCCAGAGCAGCCUGCUGGCUCCAGAUCGGACUUGUUUGGAUUGGCUGGACAAGCAGGAGGACGAGUCUGUUUUGUUCGUGAGCUUUGGGAGCUUGGCGUCGAUGGACAAGGAAGAGCUAAUGGAGACUGCAUUGGGCUUGGCCAAUAGCCGCAUUCCAUUUCUUUGGGUGAUCAGGCAUGACUUGCUUCAUGGUUCAGAGAAGGUAGGCCUACCUGAUGGCUUUGAGGAAGCGGUACAAGGUACGGGAAUGGUGGUGAGUUGGGCCCCACAACAAGAAGUUCUUGGGCACCAAGCAGUUGGUGGAUUUUGGACCCAUAAUGGCUGGAACUCGACGUUGGAGAGCAUAAGUGAGGGUGUUCCAAUGCUAUGUAGACCCCAUUUCGCCGACCAGAUGAUAAAUGCAAGGUAUGUCCAGGAGGUGUGGAAGAUAGGAUUUGAGUUAGAGGGCAAGUUGGAGAGGGGGGAGAUUGAGAGGAAUGUUCGAAACUUGUUGUGCCAAGAAGUAGGUGGAGAAAUGAGGCGAAGGGCAAAAGAUCUGAAGGACAAAGCAACCCGAUGCAUCAAGAAAGGAGGCUCUUCGCAAACUAGAGUUGAUUUGUUGGUGAAUUUUAUAACGUCACUACCUUCUUCCAUUUAG
Molecule: ribosomal RNA, 1401 nt
Filed under: Triticum aestivum (bread wheat)
Lineage: Eukaryota; Viridiplantae; Streptophyta; Magnoliopsida; Poales; Poaceae
Description: partial small subunit ribosomal RNA
Source: RNAcentral